GCGGGUGUGGCGGAAUUGGUAGACGCACCAGAUUUAGGAUCUGGCGCUUUGAUGCGUGGGGGUUCAAGUCCCUCCACCCGCACCA
This 85-nucleotide transfer RNA is filed under the name Paracoccaceae bacterium. RNAcentral describes it as "Rhodobacteraceae bacterium tRNA-Leu". It matches the Rfam family "tRNA". From Rfam's summary of the family: Transfer RNA (tRNA) molecules are approximately 80 nucleotides in length. Their secondary structure includes four short double-helical elements and three loops (D, anti-codon, and T loops). The record is from RNAcentral. Lineage: Bacteria; Pseudomonadati; Pseudomonadota; Alphaproteobacteria; Rhodobacterales; Paracoccaceae.